UAUUGCACAAUGGGGGGAAACCCUGAUGCAGCCAUGCCGCGUGUGUGAAGAAGGCCUUCGGGGUUGUAAAGCACUUUCAGUAGGGAGGAAGGUAGUGUAGUUAACACCUGCAUUAUUUGACGUUACCUACAGAAGAAGCACCGGCUAACUCCGUGCCAGCAGCCGCGGUAAUACGGAGGGGUGCGAGCGUUAAUCGGAAUUACUGGGCGUAAAGCGCAUGCAGGCGGCCUGUUAAGUCAGAUGUGAAAGCCCGGGGCUUAACCUCGGAAUUGCAUUUGAAACUGGCAGGCUAGAGUCUUGUAGAGGGGGGUAGGAAUUUCAGGUGUAGCGGUGAAAUGCGUAGAGAUCUGAAGGAAUACCAGUGGCGAAGGCGGCCCCCUGGACAAAGACUGACGCUCAGAUGCGAAAGCGUGGGGAGCAAACAGGAUUAGAUACCCUGGUAG
RNAcentral lists this ribosomal RNA (443 nucleotides) under uncultured bacterium. Its description in RNAcentral is "bacterial SSU rRNA". It matches the Rfam family "Bacterial small subunit ribosomal RNA", at positions 362 to 793 of the family's 1533-position model. The record is from RNAcentral.